This is a long non-coding RNA of Bubalus bubalis (water buffalo), 1731 nucleotides long. RefSeq lists it as uncharacterized. The record is from RefSeq and is a predicted model, not a curated record. Lineage: Eukaryota; Metazoa; Chordata; Mammalia; Artiodactyla; Bovidae. The transcript has 3 exons.
UUAAUGAUGAAGAAUUCCUGAGAGCCAGCAUUCUGAGUUUUUCUACAGUGAUCCAAUUUAUAUCUCUUGGAAAGAAGAAAGACAAAAAGUCUGUUUUUUUGCAUGUGUACACAAUCACUAUGCAUUUCUAGGCCUUAUACACAAUACCAGCGCCACAAAGGCCAUUUCUGAUUGAAUUCCAUUGACAUGAUUCUGACUUUCACAAGUCCCCAUGGAAAUGAUCUGUACAUUGUAUUGGGUUGGCCAAAAAGGUCAUUCGGAUUUUUUGUGGCAUCGUACAGCAAACCUAAAUGAACUUUUGGCCCAUCCGAUACCUUCUCGAAUGAUUUGACUGUAGCCCUUUCACUGUGAUGUCACAGGAGGAAUCUGAGAUGCUGUGACUGACGCUUCCUUUUCCCUUCCACCGCUCUCAAUGUGUGUCAGAUCGUCCCACCUGUAACCGGACGGCUGCAGCUUCCUGAGGUGACCGCGUCCCUACGGGAAAUGGGGUCAGGUUGGUCAUGGUCACUGGACACCCGCAGGGAGAUUAGUUAAGGUCAAGCAAGCUGAGGUCACAACAGGUCUUGCUGGGAAGAGAGUUAUGUGAGCUCUCCUUGGAAUGAGACUGGCAACCUGACCUGGCAUUAGGCAACAUUCUGUACCGAAGACUUGACAAACAGGUGGGAGAAAACCUCAGUAGGACUGAGUACAGCCUGAAGAAUACUCAGAAAGAUGAAAUGAAGUGAAAAGACCUCUAGGAACCACAUGUUUCUUCCCAGAGAGAAAGAAGCACUCUUACUGGUAACUGAUGGAGUCACAAAGGUUUAUUGUGGCUGCUUCGGAUCAAGGAUCAAAUCUGGUUGCAUAAGAGGCAGGUAUGGUUCGCCUGCUUAGACUACUGUCACCUGAAUCUGAGCUUCCCUGGCUGGUGAAUGCUGGUUGAUACUAGACACUAUGUGUGUGUGUUAGUCACUCAGUUGUGUCCGACUCCUUGCGACCCCAUGAACUGUAGCCCGCCAGGCUCCUCUGUCCAUGGGAUUCUCCAGGCAAGAAUACUGGAGUGGGUUGCCAUGCCCUUCUCCAGGGGAUCUUCCUGACCCAGGGAUCAAACCCAGGUCUUCUGCAUUACAGGCGGAUUCUUUACUAUCUGAGUCAUCAGGGAAGCUCUAGACACUAUAGAAACAGGUUGAAGAAAGAGAGAGAUGGCCUCUGAUAGCACGCCCUCUUACCAGCAGCAAGACAAGGACUGGCAGGAAGACUCCUUCCCUUUAUGUAAUUAUGUCCACUGAGCUCCACCAAAGCAGGGUGAUUUUUGUGCUUUGGUUUUUAAAAGCCAAAUGCUCUGGAUGCUUCAUGCUCAGUUCAUAAUCCAUUUUCACAUUUCUCAUUGCUCAGAGGAAAUGGAAAGCCUGGGUUUUAGAUACAAAAAAUAAAUCAGAAGUGGUUAUUCACGUUUCAUACGUUACUGUUGAUGCUUAGUUAAUCUUGGGUGAAGUCAGUGGAAGGCCACAGUGAGGAGGGUGGAAGUGGCCUGGGGGGGAGGCGUGACAUCAGUGCCUAAACAAUGUGGAAGAGAAAAGCUUCUGUCUUCAGUUGGACAACUAUGCUAUUUGGGUAGGACCAUGAUCAUCUCUCAGUUGAUUUCCAUACCUGCAAUUGCAUCCUGUAUGUUUUGCACAAGGACUAACAUCAGAAGGCAAUGGCACCCCACUCCAGUACUCUUGCCUGGAAAAUCCCAUGGACGGAGGAGCC